RNAcentral lists this non-coding RNA (166 nucleotides) under human gut metagenome. The record is from RNAcentral.
AAUCGCGAGGUUGGGGCUAAAGGAAGUGUGGAACAAAAUCGUGGCUCAACGUACAGAAACUUGAUACAAAGGCUACAUAAACGGAUAAAGUUACAGAACAAACCAAAGUCCGAAAGAUACACGUAAUUUUAUGCAGUAAAUUAGGUGAGUAAACGAGGAAAGUUAU